GAAGGAGGACGAUGACGAUAGUGAGGAGGGCAAGGACUUGGAGGAGGAGGAUGACAAGGAAGCGGCAGCGGUGGAGGAAGAGGGUGGUGGUGAUGGUGGAGGAGGAAGAGGUAGUGGGCUCGUAGAGAGUCAAGAAGUAGGCUACCAAGAAGAGGAGGCAAAGUGGCUGUGGCAAUGGGGGAGGUGGACUUGGAGAUGGCCAAGAAGAGGAGGUGGGUGGACUUCGACGUCUACACGAUGCCCGGCAAUGCCGGCAUCGAGGCAACAUUACUGGGGAACUCCUCGGGGAGUCAUCGCAGAAUACUCCGAUUUGGGGCUUCCUUUUUGAAAGCAUCUAGGAUCCUAAUUUGAAUUUUGGUAAUUAAUGACAACAUCUGUGGACUAACAAUUUCUUUAGAGAUAUGAGUAUAUGUUAGUUCCGGAGAUAAAUUGAGCUUCAAUGGAUGCUAUGGUGAUAGCUUGGAUGAAUUUACAGUGGAGAGCUUAAGGCAAAGGUAAAUGGUAGGGCUUUUCUAUUUUACCGGUCAAGAGGUGCUUAGUAGAUGAUAAUUGACUGGUUAGUAGGCUAGAUAGUCAUACUAUCAGGUCAAUUUCAUUUUCUUGACGGUUCUAAAGUGCCAUUGUGCUCAAACAAUUGCAUUGCAUGCAUAUGGGUUUUUCUCAUUUGGAAAGUUGAUAGAACAAUGGUAAAAUGUGAUUUGAAAAUGGCUAACAUGCAGUGUAUGGUGAACGGCCUCUCUUGUAGAGGCGGACUAUUAUUUGACUUAGCCAAAAUAUUUUUGGAAGGCAUGAGCAUUGUUGAGCUUAAGUUGAACAAAACCUUGUUUGGGAACCCGAUAGCCGUGGCGCCACCGAUGUCCUUCUACC
This 867-nucleotide long non-coding RNA is filed under the name Setaria viridis. Its description in RNAcentral is "long non-coding RNA (SVIR_LNC005440)". Lineage: Eukaryota; Viridiplantae; Streptophyta; Magnoliopsida; Poales; Poaceae. The record is from RNAcentral.